CUUCUCUAUAUUUAUUCCAUCUCUCUCGUCUCAUUCUUCUUCUUUUUCUUUCUUUCAUCUCUCUCUUCUCAUUUCUCUCAUCUGCUUCAAUCAAACAACCAACAUGGCAAGAACUUUUGAAAGUAUCAAGAACAUCAAUGAUUCGAAGGAGGUCUAAAAAUUGGUGGUCAGAAUCCAUCACAAACGGGUGGUGGUCUCCAAGAAUAAAUAACACUUCGAGAUGA
Molecule: non-coding RNA, 224 nt
Organism: Vicia faba (fava bean)
Lineage: Eukaryota; Viridiplantae; Streptophyta; Magnoliopsida; Fabales; Fabaceae
Source: the annotation of a GenBank genome assembly